This is a long non-coding RNA of Vicia villosa (hairy vetch), 964 nucleotides long. RefSeq lists it as uncharacterized. The transcript has 3 exons. Lineage: Eukaryota; Viridiplantae; Streptophyta; Magnoliopsida; Fabales; Fabaceae. The record is from RefSeq and is a predicted model, not a curated record.
UUCCUUUCAUUCUUUUUCUUUUACAGUGGUCAUGUGUUCUCUUCUCUUCACCUUCAUUCAUCCGCCUAUAUCACUUCCAGGUAUAUUGUUCCUUUUCUUUUGUUAAACCAAAAUUUUCUUGUAUUUAGUUUCUCAUUCAAUUUAUUUUCUUCUUUUUUCACAGAGCAUUUGGAGCUAUUGUUGAAUUCGACUUAGAUCUAUACUCUCGUUGAAAUCUCAAUACACAAACAUACUCCGCCACUAAGAGUUCUUCUUAGAACACUAGCUGGAUGGAUAAUAAAUGCUAAGGACCGGAUGGAUGCUUGGAGUUGUUUUUCGUGUCAGGACUCCAUUCCAAACAUAAAAUUAUGAAGCAUUGCUUUCUCAUUGUGCGGUGUCACAUGUCUUGGUCGUGGUGAAGCAACUUCACUAAUGAGGAGAACGAAAAUUCAGAGAGACGUUGAGGUAAUUUGUAGGCUUUUAUGAAGUUGUAGCUUCUAGAUUUUUUACUUGCUGAUGUGUACUAGAUUUAUCAUUUGAUCUAUUUGUAUUGCAUCUUGAGUUGUAACAAAACUUUAUAAUAUAACUAGAAGUAUCAUCUGGGAUAAUUCUUCAAUGCUUGAUUAUGUUUACUCAAUGUAAUGCGCUGGUUGCAAAAAAUCUAAAAACUUAGAUAGUAACAUAUUGUUUCAUCAUCUAGAGCAUGAUAGAGUAAGUUGGCUUCCCUUUGAAGUUCAUCUCCAUAUAAAUUUAUUGAUGCAGAGGCCAUCUCUUUCUAGUCUGUAUCUUUUCAAUGUUUUCUUUCCAUGUUUCUUAUAUUAAAGUGAACAGAGACCAAAUUCUUGGCAUGUAUUUGAGGCCAACAAAGGUGCCAUUCACAUUCAUAAUAUAUUAUAUAUCUAGCAUUAGUGUUAGCGUUAAAAUUGGUGCAUUAGACAAAUAAACAAUAAAUAAAUUAUAUUACACAAAUAACAUUUAUUGUCUC